Molecule: ribosomal RNA, 295 nt
Filed under: Acinetobacter baumannii
Lineage: Bacteria; Pseudomonadati; Pseudomonadota; Gammaproteobacteria; Moraxellales; Moraxellaceae
Description: partial 23S ribosomal RNA
Rfam family: Bacterial large subunit ribosomal RNA
Source: RNAcentral
CUGGAAAUUUGAGAGGUGCUGUUCCUGGUACGGGAGAGCCAGAGUGGACGAACCUCUGGUGUACCGGUUGUGACGCCAGUCGCAUCGCCGGGUAGCUAUGUUCGGAAGGGAUAACCGCUGAAAGCAUCUAAGCGGGAAGCCUACCUCAAGAUAAGAUUUCCCUAGGACUUUAUGUCCUCUAAAGAGCCGUUCGAGACUAGGACGUUGAUAGGUUGGAUGUGGAAGCAUAGUGAUAUGUGAAGCUGACCAAUACUAAUUGCUCGUGAGGCUUGACUAUACAACACCCAAGCAGUUG